UAUAUGUGAACUGGCAUGAUAUAUUUUUAUAUCUGUUUCUCAUUCAACAUUGUUGUGUCUUCUUUGCAGGCUCUCAGAUUAUUCUUUGAUGUGUAUUCUUGGAAAGUUGCAGGUAUGUCACCUUGAGUAGGUAAUUUCAGUUAAUGUUAUCUGAGAGCUUUCAGGUUGGCAUUAGAGAUGAUUUCUCCAUUAGCAUCACUAUAUAAUAGAUUUUUUCGGGAUAUGACUCGUCGUGCAUAUGACUGAUAAUUUUAGUAUACAACUCUGCACGAAUAACCCAUUUAACCAGCAACCAUGGAUGAAUUUUAGCAUGUUUAUCAAACAAAAAGAAUUACUUUCACUUUGAAGAAUGAUUUGAAGGUUUUGAUUUCCAUGAGAACCUGGUCUGGAAUAGGCAGGACGAGGAAACCAUCAGGACCACCUCUCAGGUUCAUUUCCUCCUACUCACCUAAGACUGGUCCCUCUCUCUCCCCUUUUUAGAUUGCUCAUGAAUGUGCUCAGGUCUUCUGUGAUUAUGAAUUUAUCUUCUUUGAGCCUGCAAUGCUGAUUUUUUUUCUAAAUUUUUCAUGGUAGAAAACAUUGUGCAUUCCUUUUUGCUUUUGGAUUAUUAUAUCAAUCUAAAAUUGAGAUCUUGAAACAGUCAUAUAUUUGGGUUUAUUGGGGUUUCAUAAACACUUUUGCUAUGAGCUGAUCCUAUUAUAAUUAAAGUGAUACAAAAGAUAGUCCAAAUUCCUACUCAACCAUGUCCCGUGUGUCCACCAGGAGUUGAUAUUGUGCCCGUGUAGCGCCGUCUGAAUAAUACAUUGUUUUAGAUAAAUGCAUGGGUCUCUUGUCCCCAAUAUGUUUAGAAAACUACUCCGGUGCUCCUUCUCUAAAAAUAUUUGUGAAUCUUAAAGCUGAAGCAGUUAAUAAGGUUAGGGGUAAAUACAGAGUAAACCUGAGAUUUUGCAUGGUUGCAUGCGUGGAUGCUAGAUAAUAUCUCCUAAUCACCCAACUCGAGAUUUUGUAUCUGCUAAUCAUGCGGAAUAGUAUACGGCGUGGCUAGUUCACGGCUUCACGCAGCAAAUAUCUCAUGUUUCUAUAUAUUUAGACCUAGAACUAGAACUAGAAAAGUAAACAAGAAAUAGAUUUAAGUGAAAAAAAACACAUGAGGAAGAUUGAUAAACAUGUCAGUGAUUUUAAUUUCAGUUUUUUGAAUUUUUUGGCCACCCUUCAAAAUCACUAAAAUUCGUAAAAUUUUAGCAUUUUAGAGACUCAAAAAAAUAUGGUUUUUCUAAAAUUUUUAGAUCUAAACAAAAUGAGUUUUUUUAAGAAGAAUAUGCAACAUAAAUAAUAAAAAAUGAGUAAGAAUUUUAUAUACACAUUAAAGCACAUGCACUAAAGUAAUGUGAAAUUUUGGAUUUUUUCGCCAGCUCCGAAAUUCAUAAAGUUUUGGCAAAAAAUUGAACUCAGGGCAUGCAUUUUUCGAAUAAAACAUUAUACUUUGCCAAUUGGUAUAUUGUACGAGUAGCACGUUCUUAUUUUAUAAUACUUAUUAGUAUUUAACGAACGCUCACAAUGGGAUUUUACGAAAAUAGUGAGCCGUAGAUUUGCAUGGACGCAUGCAUGCAGAGCGAACGACCCAGAGUUGGAUAUGAUGAAUGAAUUGACUAUUGACGAAUCCACCCCUAACCACAUUAACUACUUUUGCUUUGAGAUUCACAAAGUUUUUUUUAGUUAAGGAGUACCGGAGCAGAACUCAUAUGUUUAUUAUAUCUAUCUGAAAUUGAGAUCUUGAAAUAGUCAUAUUUUUGGAUUUAUUGGAGUUGCAUAAACACUUUUGAUAUGAGUUGAUCCUAUUAUAAUUAAAGUGGUACAAAAAAACAGUCUGAAUUCCUACUCAACCAGGCCCCUUGCGCCUACCAGGAGUUGAUCUUGUGCCCAUGCAGCGCCAUCUGAAUAAUGCACUGUUUUAACCUUGUACUGUCGAAGAUUUCACGAAUAAAAUAGUAUCCCAGUUAAGUUUAGUAACCUUGGGCAGUACUUGAACUAUUUGUAAGCUUAACUAAUUGAUAUAGUGGUCUGUUAGAAAGGAGUAUUACUUGUGAUAAAUUGAAUCGUCAAAUACUCAAAUCACCAUGUUAUCUAACUAAAAAAAGACGGAUAUCUACAAGAGUUUGAAUAUGCAACGCAUCAUGUUAAGAUUUUCUUGCAAGUUGCACUAGCUGACUGAAGAGUAUUAUUGGUUUUCCUUUGGUUGGACAGGUGCUUUGAAACAUUUGAUUGUACCAUGUCUGACUACAUUUGAAUUGGUUGCAGGAAAGCGAUGGAAUCAAUAGGUCUGCAACGCUGGCCUCAUCGGGUUGCCAUCCUAUUGUCCAUACCAUCUCUUUGCCUUAGACGCGCUCAGGAUGUUGGCAACCUUCUUGAGGAGAUUGAGCAACGCAGAGGAGAUGACAUCCCUCUCUAUCGGCAGCAUUCACAGGCUCAUGAUCUUCUCGAUAAGGUGACACAUUAGAUGAUCUGCUUCACAUCCCCAUUCUCACUUAAUUAGUGCUGACACGGAUACUUCAAAUAAUGGAGUUUGGUUUAAAGACUUUUGUAGUGGAUAAUAUCUAUUUUGAGUGUCUUAAUAGUUUUUCAUUGUUUUUGUUACGAAC
This 2639-nucleotide long non-coding RNA is filed under the name Sorghum bicolor (sorghum). Its description in RNAcentral is "long non-coding RNA (SBIC_LNC016591)". The record is from RNAcentral. Lineage: Eukaryota; Viridiplantae; Streptophyta; Magnoliopsida; Poales; Poaceae.